UCUCCGAUCGUAUAGUGGUUAGUAUUUAGGCUUGUCAUCUGCAGUUAGACAACUCGCCGAAGUCCAGGGUUCGUUCAAUUCCCCGUCUGAGAG
This is a non-coding RNA of Phaeosphaeriaceae sp. PMI808, 93 nucleotides long. Lineage: Eukaryota; Fungi; Ascomycota; Dothideomycetes; Pleosporales; Phaeosphaeriaceae. The record is from the annotation of a GenBank genome assembly.